Molecule: long non-coding RNA, 486 nt
Organism: Onychostoma macrolepis
Lineage: Eukaryota; Metazoa; Chordata; Actinopteri; Cypriniformes; Cyprinidae
Exons: 3
Source: RefSeq, a predicted model, not a curated record
CGGCUCUUCCUGUUCCACUGCCUCCACUUCCUGUGUCUCCAGAUACUGCUUCCUGUUUCGCAAACAUCAGCGGUGUCAGAAAUGGAGCACAGUGUGGAUUUCUUCCUUAUAGACAUUUACCAUGCAGCGUCAUCUGCUGGGCGUUCAGAGUAUUACAGCGUCACAGGAGUCGCAGCGAUCAGCAUCAGGAUCUAACGGGUCGCUCCAGUCGCCCAGAGUCACGGCCGAAUGAGUCCGACUGCAGCCCAACGCUGACACACACACACACACACACACACAGACCACCGUGAGUAACACAUCCUCCACUCUCUCUCCCCAUCACAUCUAAUAUUAUUGAUCUUGACUGUGCAAUGAUAAAAUACAUGCAGCAUUAUUUUAAUGUGCUUUACGGUCAUGAGAAAUAAUGAAGCACUGCAACUGAAAACAUCCAUGAACUCCUAACAGUCCACUGUGAUCUAAUCAGUCUGAGGUCACUGUUAAGUACCG